Molecule: ribosomal RNA, 398 nt
Filed under: uncultured bacterium
Lineage: Bacteria
Description: partial 16S ribosomal RNA
Rfam family: Bacterial small subunit ribosomal RNA
Source: RNAcentral
AUACGUAGGGUGCGAGCGUUGUCCGGAAUUACUGGGCGUAAAGAGCUCGUAGGUGGUUUGUCGCGUCGUCUGUGAAAUUCCGGGGCUUAACUCCGGGCGUGCAGGCGAUACGGGCAUAACUUGAGUACUGUAGGGGAGACUGGAAUUCCUGGUGUAGCGGUGAAAUGCGCAGAUAUCAGGAGGAACACCGGUGGCGAAGGCGGGUCUCUGGGCAAUAACUGACGCUGAGGAGCGAAAGCAUGGGUAGCGGACAGGAUUAGAUGCCCUGGUAGUCGAUGCCGUAAACGGUGGGCGCUAGGUGUAGGGGUCUUCCACGACUUCUGUGCCGUAGCUAACGCAUUAAGCGCCCCGCCUGGGGAGUACGGCCGCAAGGCUAAAACUCAAAGGAAUUGACGGGG